AUGGGUACGUCAGCGUCGUCGUUUCUGGACCGACGCGACGCUCGCCGCCGCGGCUACGAACCGAUCCCCCGGCACGACGAGGACGAGAAAGACAUGUCGAUCGCUUACGAGGAGCAGAAGAACAUACUAGAACAGAUGUCGAUCCCUCGGCGCGACGAGGAACGGAAGAAGGCGGAGGACGAUCGAUCUCAGCAGCAGCAGGAGGAGCAGGAGGACAUAAUACUCUUCGAGGAGGAGAGGCAAGGGCCGGCGGCUCUGGAGGCGCGCGCGCGCGUGCUGAGGGGCAGGGCCUUCCGGCAAGGGACCGUCUUCGAGACCUGGCAGGACCUCAAGGACUCGGCCCUCUGCUACCUCAUCGCCUUAAACUGGAGAGAAGCUGCGCUGGCGUUCGCGGAGCAGGCUCUGUACGACAUUCAGCUCGGCGAUGAACCGCGCGCGGCCACCGCGUUGCUGCGAUCUGCUAAAUGCUUCAUCGAGAUCGAACACAAACCCAAGUACGAGGUAGAGUACGUGGAGCAGGCGCUGGAGGAGGCGACGACGCUGUUCGCCAGGACCGGCGACCUGCAGCUGGCCGCCACCAGCUGCCUGGAGUUAGCCGAGUUCUACAUGGACCAGCAGGACCUGCAGGGCGCGCUUCGCACCUUCCGGCGUGCCGCGGGCUACUGCGGCUACAAGCACCGGAACUGCGGGCACAAGGCCGACGUGGUCGGGUCUCUGCUGCGCGACGAGGAAGCGCUCCGCCGCCGGGGGGUGCUGCCCCUCGAGGACUACAAGAGGAGGUCCGCCGGGUACAUCCGGUCGUCGGACCCAGACUGGCGCUCCAAAGUGUGCGACCUGUUCCUUUCAACUACUCCACCGGUGCAUGUCGCAGUCUCUGUGACGGUUGACUGA
Molecule: ribosomal RNA, 891 nt
Filed under: Triticum aestivum (bread wheat)
Lineage: Eukaryota; Viridiplantae; Streptophyta; Magnoliopsida; Poales; Poaceae
Description: partial small subunit ribosomal RNA
Source: RNAcentral